RNAcentral lists this ribosomal RNA (586 nucleotides) under uncultured bacterium. Its description in RNAcentral is "bacterial SSU rRNA". It matches the Rfam family "Bacterial small subunit ribosomal RNA", at positions 338 to 916 of the family's 1533-position model. The record is from RNAcentral.
CCUACGGGAGGCAGCAGUAGGGAAUAUUGCGCAAUGGAUGAAACUCUGACGCAGCGACGCCGCGUGGGUGAUGAAGGCCUUCGGGUUGUAAAGCCCUGUCGGAAGGGAAGAAAAACAAUAUGGCUAAUAUCCAUAAUGCUUGACGGUACCUUUAAAGGAAGCACCGGCUAACUACGUGCCAGCAGCCGCGGUAAUACGUAGGGUGCUAGCGUUGUUCGGAAUCAUUGGGCGUAAAGGGCGCGUAGGCGGAAUUGUAAGUCAGAGGUGAAAACCAUAGGCUUAACUUAUGGCCUGCCUUUGAAACUGCAAUUCUUGAGUGCGGUAGAGGGAAGCGGAAUUCCUGGUGUAGCGGUGAAAUGCGUAGAUAUCAGGAAGAACACCGGUAGCGAAGGCGGCUUCCUGGGCCGUAACUGACGCUGAGGCGCGAAAGUGUGGGGAGCAAACAGGAUUAGAUACCCUGGUAGUCCACACUGUAAACGGUGGGCACUAGGUGUAGGGCUCGUAAGGGUUCUGUGCCGAAGGGAAACCAUUAAGUGCCCCGCCUGGGGAGUACGGCCGCAAGGUUGAAACUUAAAGGAAUUGACGG